Long non-coding RNA from Sciurus carolinensis (gray squirrel), 470 nucleotides. RefSeq lists it as uncharacterized. The transcript has 3 exons. The record is from RefSeq and is a predicted model, not a curated record. NCBI's taxonomy places the organism in Eukaryota, Metazoa, Chordata, Mammalia, Rodentia, Sciuridae.
UGCACAGUUGUCACCAGGAACAAAAGGCUGCCCGGUCCCCACGAGUGGCGCGUCUCAGAGAAUAUUCUUCUCGAGUGGAUGAGAUCUCAAGGGAAGCUUCUCGAUCUGGAUACUCUAUUUCUGGCAGACAAAGAAGGUUGCCGGGAUAUGGGAAGCUCUGCAUAUGAAAAUAAUGUCAGCCGCCUCUGGAGGGAAGGUUCUGGUCACAGUGGCCUGGGAAACAUUUCGUGACAGAGAGCUGGACUUGAUGGGGGAGAGGAACUGAAAGGACAGGCUGGGUUUGCUACUACCAGACAGAAUCCACCCGCCUGGAAGGAAGGAGCAUUCUCCUCUCCUUGUUCUGUCUGACAAAUGAAAAAGACUGCCUAAGGUCAAGAACUCUUCCCUCUCUACUAGAUCAUGGUUUAAUCUUAACCAAGGGGGUGGGGGAUGGGGAAGAAAUGACAAACUGCAGGUGACAAAAAGGUAAG